UUGGGGAUACUGAUUUUCAAAAGCCCAGUGUUCGGGAUAUCACGGUUCCAAAAAAAACUCUCACCCACCUCCCUUCCGAAGCUUCCUUUCCCAAUAAUCUUCCGGACCUUCUCAAAUCUCCACGGAGUGCUCGUUGGCCCCCGAAGCUCCCAGAACCUCCUCCUCCGCUUCUCUCCACUCUUCACGCCGCCACCGAGUUUAUACACGCUUCGUCCCGUCCUGCCGCGCCCGUCUGUUCCAUAGCAUACCAUUAUUGUGAUAAACCAUCCAAUCCAGAGUUCCAUUCCAUUCUGAAUUGCUCCUCCCAGCUUCAGAUAAACCAUCGAGAUUGUGCCGCCAGCGCCCCACCAUGGCCGCCGCGCCGCCGCUGUCCGCCGACGUACUCUCCUUCCUAACCUCCGCCCCCGCCGCGCCGACGCCGGUCGUAGCCGCGGCGUGGGGCGCGGCGAGGGCGGGUCCUGUGAGGGGUAAGGCGGCACUAAGGACGACGAGAGGAGGAAGGGGCGGGGUGCUGGCUCCGCUGGUCGGGAGGAGGCCCCGCCGGACGCCGCUCUCGGUGCGCUGCAACGCCACCAGCCGGGACGGCAGGAUUACACAACAAGAGUUCACUGAGAUGGCGUGGCAAGCAAUUGUCUCAUCCCCCGAGGUGGCAAAGGAGAGCAAACACCAGAUUGUGGAGACCGAACAUCUGAUGAAAUCCCUGCUGGAGCAACGGAAUGGCCUUGCCCGCCGUAUCUUUUCUAAGGCAGGAGUUGACAAUACAAGGCUUCUCGAUGCCACAAAGAAAUUCAUCCAGAGGCAGCCUAAGGUAUUAGGUGAAGAACCUGGAUCUAUGUUGGGGCGUGACUUAGAAGCUCUGAUACAAAGAGCAAGGGACUUUAAGAAAGAGUAUGGUGAUUCAUAUGUCUCAGUUGAACAUCUAGUCCUUGGCUUUGCCGAAGAUAAGCGGUUUGGGACACAGCUGUUCAAGGAUUUUCAGAUUACUGUGAAGACCUUGAAAUCAGCCAUUGAAUCGAUCAGAGGGAAGCAAAAUGUAAUUGAUCAAGAUCCUGAGGGUAAGUACGAAGCUUUGGAUAAGUAUGGAAAGGAUCUGACAGCUAUGGCACGUCAAGGGAAGCUUGAUCCAGUUAUUGGAAGAGAUGAUGAGAUUCGAAGAUGUAUACAAAUUUUAUCACGAAGAACAAAGAACAAUCCAGUUCUAAUUGGUGAACCUGGUGUAGGGAAAACGGCUAUAGCUGAAGGACUAGCUCAGAGGAUUGUUCAAGGAGAUGUCCCACAAGCUCUGACAAACCGGCGACUAAUUGCACUUGAUAUGGGUGCAUUGAUUGCUGGUGCAAAAUAUCGUGGAGAGUUUGAGGAUAGACUUAAGGCUGUUCUCAAAGAAGUUACAGAUUCUGAUGGGCAGACCAUUCUUUUCAUUGAUGAGAUUCACACAGUUGUUGGAGCAGGUGCCACAAAUGGUGCAAUGGAUGCUGGUAAUCUUCUCAAACCAAUGCUUGGGAGAGGAGAGCUACGGUGCAUUGGUGCAACAACCCUUGAUGAAUACCGCAAAUAUAUUGAGAAAGAUCCAGCACUAGAGCGGCGCUUCCAACAAGUUUAUGUUGAUCAGCCUUCAGUUGAAGAUACAAUUUCAAUACUCCGAGGACUAAGAGAGAGAUAUGAGUUGCACCAUGGUGUACGAAUAUCUGACAGUGCCCUUGUAGCUGCAGCUGUUCUUUCAGACCGUUAUAUCAGUGGACGAUUCUUGCCUGACAAAGCUAUUGAUCUGGUUGAUGAAUCAGCCGCCAAAUUAAAAAUGGAGAUAACAUCAAAACCUACUGCUCUGGAUGAGAUCGAUCGUGCUGUCCUAAAGAUUGAAAUGGAGCGUCUCUCACUUACAAAUGAUACAGACAAAGCAUCAAAGGACAGACUAUCCCGUCUUGAAGCAGAACUAUCACUCUUGAAGGAUAAACAACGUCAGUUGACUGAGAAGUGGGAGCACGAGAAAUCAGUGAUGACUAAAAUUCAAUCUAUCAAAGAAGAGAUUGACAGGGUAAAUGUGGAGAUACAGCAGGCAGAACGUGAGUACGAUCUUAAUCGAGCUGCUGAACUGAAAUAUGGCAGCCUGAAUGCCUUGCAGCGCCAGCUUCAAACGACAGAGAAGGAGCUUGAUGAAUAUCAGAGUUCUGGGAAAUCCAUGCUAAGGGAAGAGGUGACCCAAGACGAUAUUGCAGAAAUAGUGAGCAGGUGGACAGGCAUUCCAGUUUCUAAACUAAAGCAAUCUGACAGGGAGAAAUUGCUGUAUCUGGAGGAAGAGCUGCACAAGCGAGUUGUUGGUCAGGAUCCUGCUGUAAAAGCAGUUGCAGAGGCCAUUCAGAGAUCCAGAGCUGGAUUAUCUGACCCAAACCGUCCUAUUGCCAGUUUCAUGUUCAUGGGACCUACAGGAGUUGGCAAGACAGAGUUAGCGAAAGCCCUUGCUUCCUUUAUGUUCAACACUGAGGAAGCUGUUGUCAGGAUUGACAUGAGCGAGUACAUGGAGAAGCAUUCAGUCUCGAGGUUGAUUGGUGCUCCACCAGGUUAUGUUGGGUAUGAAGAGGGUGGUCAACUGACAGAGGCUGUUCGCCGUAGGCCAUAUUCGGUUGUCUUGUUUGAUGAGAUUGAGAAAGCUCAUUUGGAUGUCUUCAAUGUCUUCCUUCAAAUAUUGGACGAUGGUAGGGUUACUGAUUCUCAAGGCCGGAAAGUGAGCUUCACCAACUCCAUCAUUAUCAUGACGUCCAACGUUGGGUCACAGUAUAUACUAAACAUGGAUGAAGAAGAUGGAUCAUCUGAUUCAGCCUAUGAGAACAUAAAGAGGAGGGUGAUGGAUGCUGCAAGAUCGGUGUUCCGUCCAGAGUUCAUGAAUCGUGUAGAUGAGUACAUUGUUUUCAAGCCUCUCGAGAGAGAACAGAUCAACAGCAUUGUCAAAUUACAGCUUGCAAGAGUACAGAAGAGGAUUGCAGAUCGCAAAAUAAAGCUCGAUGUCUCGCCUGGAGCCAUUGAAUUCUUGGGAAGCCUCGGGUAUGACCCGAAUUAUGGCGCGAGGCCUGUGAAGAGAGUGAUUCAACAGUAUGUGGAGAACGAACUCGCAAAGGGCAUCCUCAGAGGUGAUUUCAAGGACGAGGACAGCAUCUUCGUGGACACCCAGGUUACGGUGCCCUCCAAUGGCCAGCUUCCGCUGCGAAAGCUAGUUUUUCAGAAAGUGGGUGAGCAAUCGAAGCCUGCUGCUGAAGGCGAGAAGUUCUUGCCGGCUGUUUGAUUGGAGUACGGUUGCAGUUUUGCAGAUCGUGAGCAAUAAAAUGUACAUAUAAGGGUGACAGACUGUGGAAGUGUAUUCGAUUUUGAUGUCCUCCGACGUAACUGAUGCAAACUAACAAGAAACAGGUAUCCAGUUGGAACUCCCUUUGCCAA
This is an RNA transcript of Zea mays, 3426 nucleotides long. RefSeq lists it as uncharacterized. The transcript is spliced from 11 exons. The record is from RefSeq and is marked validated. NCBI's taxonomy places the organism in Eukaryota, Viridiplantae, Streptophyta, Magnoliopsida, Poales, Poaceae.